UUGCUUAAGUCACGGUAACGUCAAAGUGCUUACAGUGCAGGUAGUACUAUGGGAUAUCUACUGCAGUGGAGGCACUUCUAGCAUUACAGUGACCA
This is a microRNA precursor of Lepisosteus oculatus (spotted gar), 95 nucleotides long. Ensembl annotates it as microRNA 17. Its record names the gene mir17a-1. The record is from Ensembl. Lineage: Eukaryota; Metazoa; Chordata; Actinopteri; Semionotiformes; Lepisosteidae.